This 122-nucleotide small RNA is filed under the name Marmota monax (woodchuck). Lineage: Eukaryota; Metazoa; Chordata; Mammalia; Rodentia; Sciuridae. The record is from RNAcentral.
UGGGCAUAGUGGCAUGUGCCUGUAAUCCCAAUUACUUGGAGACUAAGGAAGAUUUUGAGUUUGAGGUCAGACUUGGCAAUACAGUAAGACCCCAUCAUCUCAAAUAAAAAAAAAUCCUUUAU